This 254-nucleotide ribosomal RNA is filed under the name uncultured bacterium. RNAcentral's name for it is "partial 16S ribosomal RNA". It matches the Rfam family "Bacterial small subunit ribosomal RNA", at positions 524 to 776 of the family's 1533-position model. The record is from RNAcentral.
UACAGAGGUGGCAAGCGUUGUUCGGAAUUACUGGGCGUAAAGGGCGCGUAGGCGGCCAGCACAAGUCAGUUGUGAAAUCUCCGAGCUUAACUCGGAAAGGUCAACUGAUACUGUGCGGCUAGAGUGCGGAAGGGGCAACUGGAAUUCUUGGUGUAGCGGUGAAAUGCGUAGAUAUCAAGAGGAACACCUGCGGCGAAGGCGGGUUGCUGGGCCGACACUGACGCUGAUGCGCGAAAGCUAGGGGAGCGAACGGG